RNAcentral lists this transfer RNA (72 nucleotides) under Camelus dromedarius (Arabian camel). It matches the Rfam family "tRNA". From Rfam's summary of the family: Transfer RNA (tRNA) molecules are approximately 80 nucleotides in length. Their secondary structure includes four short double-helical elements and three loops (D, anti-codon, and T loops). The record is from Rfam by way of RNAcentral. Lineage: Eukaryota; Metazoa; Chordata; Mammalia; Artiodactyla; Camelidae. RNAcentral also lists the same sequence under 1 other name.
AGGGGUAUAGCUCAAUGGUAGAGUGCAUGCCUAGCAUGCAUGAGGUCCUGGGUUCAAUCCCUGGUACCUCCA